GACGAACGCUGGCGGCGUGCUUAACACAUGCAAGUCGAGCGGUAAGGCCCUUUCGGGGGUACACGAGCGGCGAACGGGUGAGUAACACGUGGGUGACCUGCCCUCAGCUCUGGGAUAAGCCUGGGAAACCGGGUCUAAUACCGGAUAUGACUCCAUGACGCAUGUUGUGGGGUGGAAAGCCUUGUGCGGCUGAGGAUGGGCCCGCGGCCUAUCAGCUUGUUGGUGGGGUGAUGGCCUACCAAGGCGACGACGGGUAGCCGGCCUGAGAGGGCGACCGGCCACACUGGGACUGAGAUACGGCCCAGACUCCCACGGGAGGCAGCAGUGGGGAAUCUUGCGCAAUGGGCGAAAGCCUGACGCAGCGACGCCGCGUGAGGGAUGACGGCCUC
This 389-nucleotide ribosomal RNA is filed under the name uncultured bacterium. Its description in RNAcentral is "bacterial SSU rRNA". It matches the Rfam family "Bacterial small subunit ribosomal RNA", at positions 28 to 418 of the family's 1533-position model. The record is from RNAcentral.